AAAUACUUUCUCCAUUUCUUAUUGGAAUAAUAAUUAUGUCGAGGUGCCACGGAAGAAUAAAUGCGGCUGUCUUCACUUUGCUUAUUGCCUAUAUAGUUUUGUCAGUCUGUUCAUGUCCCUUGCUUAUAGAAGCCAGAAUUCAAAAGUUCUCAGCUAUCCAAGGUGCAGAUCAAUCUUCGCAACUUCAAUUAAUUUCUUGUAAAUAUUAAUCACCAUUUAAUCAUUUAUAUAGUAGUUUUAUUUAUUAAUUAGUCUUUGCUUCGAACUUCUAAUUACAUGCGACAGGAAGUUUAGUUCAUCAAAGUAAGAAAGAAGGAUUAGACCAUCGGAGACGAAUGAGAGAAGCUCCUAAACGACCUUUUCCUCCGGCAGGCAAUCGUGGGCCCCGUGCCGGAAAUUUUUAGAUUGUUUGGAUCCAAUGAUAUGGAACAACUCCGAAUGCCACUGUCAAAAAAUUCAAAAUCGUUUCGUGCACGCCUGUAAUUUAAUUGAGCCGAUAACGGCGGAAAAGCGGAAAUCAGAAGACUUCAGCUCAGUUCGGUAUUAUUUGUAUGCGAGAAAUAAAAUAUUCAAACAACUAACGCAAAAAUCAAGAGUUAUUUAAUUCAGUUUAUAUAAUAAAUUUAUAUGAAUUUGUAGCUCUAUCUUCAUUGUAUUAUCAUAAACGAAGAGCGUUAUUCCUAUUUAUGCUUUGCUUGUAACCUUUUUAAUUACCGCUAUCAAGUCAUCGAGUUCAUG
This 738-nucleotide long non-coding RNA is filed under the name Citrus sinensis (sweet orange). Its description in RNAcentral is "long non-coding RNA (CSIN_LNC000756)". The record is from RNAcentral. Lineage: Eukaryota; Viridiplantae; Streptophyta; Magnoliopsida; Sapindales; Rutaceae.